Molecule: ribosomal RNA, 372 nt
Filed under: uncultured organism
Description: partial 16S ribosomal RNA
Rfam family: Bacterial small subunit ribosomal RNA
Source: RNAcentral
GUAGGUGGCAAGCGUUGUCCGGAAUUAUUGGGCGUAAAGCGCGCGCAGGUGGUUCUUUAAGUCUGAUGUGAAAGCCCCCGGCUCAACCGGGGAGGGUCAUUGGAAACUGGGGAACUUGAGUGCAGGAGAGGAAAGUGGAAUUCCACGUGUAGCGGUGAAAUGCGUAGAUAUGUGGAGGAACACCAGUGGCGAAGGCGACUUUCUGGCCUGUAACUGACACUGAGGCGCGAAAGCGUGGGGAGCAAACAGGAUUAGAUACCCUGGUAGUCCACGCUGUAAACGAUGAGUGCUAAGUGUUGGGGGGGUUUCCCGCCCCUCAGUGCUGCAGCUAACGCAUUAAGCACUCCGCCUGGGGAUACGGUCGCAAGACUG